UAGAUACCCUGGUAGUCCAUGCCGUAAACGUUGGGCGCUAGGUGUGGGACUCAUUCCACGAGUUCCGUGCCGCAGCUAACGCAUUAAGCGCCCCGCCUGGGGAGUACGGCCGCAAGGCUAAAACUCAAAGGAAUUGACGGGGGCCCGCACAAGCGGCGGAGCAUGCGGAUUAAUUCGAUGCAACGCGAAGAACCUUACCAAGGCUUGACAUAUACCGGAAACUUCCAGAGAUGGUUGCCCCCUUUGGGUC
RNAcentral lists this ribosomal RNA (250 nucleotides) under uncultured bacterium. Its description in RNAcentral is "partial 16S ribosomal RNA". It matches the Rfam family "Bacterial small subunit ribosomal RNA", at positions 779 to 1027 of the family's 1533-position model. The record is from RNAcentral.